Molecule: small RNA, 27 nt
Filed under: Bombyx mori (domestic silkworm)
Lineage: Eukaryota; Metazoa; Arthropoda; Insecta; Lepidoptera; Bombycidae
Description: ovarian small RNA-22045
Source: RNAcentral
UAGAGUUAUAACAAAUAGAUAAAUAAC